AGGUGCCUACGGGACGCAGCAGUAGGGAAUUUUCGUCAAUGGGCGCAAGCCUGAACGAGCAAUGCCGCGUGAGUGAGGAAGGACUUCGGAUCGUAAAGCUCUGUUGCAGGUCAGAAAAGAAGGGAAGAGGAAAUGCUUUUCUUUUGAUAGUAACCUGCCAGAAAGUCACGGCUAACUACGUGCCAGCAGCCGCGGUAAUACGUAGGUGGCAAGCGUAAUCCGGAAUGAUUGGGCGUAAAGGGUGCGCAGGCGGCGUGGCAAGUCUGAAGAGAAAGGUACGGG
This 282-nucleotide ribosomal RNA is filed under the name uncultured bacterium. RNAcentral's name for it is "partial 16S ribosomal RNA". It matches the Rfam family "Bacterial small subunit ribosomal RNA", at positions 333 to 607 of the family's 1533-position model. The record is from RNAcentral.